RNAcentral lists this ribosomal RNA (105 nucleotides) under chicken gut metagenome. The record is from RNAcentral.
CGACCACGGAGGCGGGGAUCACCCGGUCCCAUCCCGAACCCGGCAGUUAAGCCCGCCAUCGCCGAGAGUACUGCGGGGCCAGCCCGCGGGAGGCCAGGACGUCGC